This 468-nucleotide ribosomal RNA is filed under the name uncultured bacterium. Its description in RNAcentral is "bacterial SSU rRNA". It matches the Rfam family "Bacterial small subunit ribosomal RNA", at positions 28 to 507 of the family's 1533-position model. The record is from RNAcentral.
GAUGAACGCUGGCGGCGUGCUUAACACAUGCAAGUCGAACGGACUUUACAUGAAGCCUAGCGAUUGUAAAGUUAGUGGCGGACGGGUGAGUAACGCGUGGGUAACCUGCCUCGUACAGGGGGAUAACACUUAGAAAUAGGUGCUAAUACCGCAUAAGCGCACAGCUUCGCAUGAAGCAGUGUGAAAAACUCCGGUGGUACGAGAUGGACCCGCGUCUGAUUAGCUAGUUGGUGAGGUAACGGCCCACCAAGGCGACGAUCAGUAGCCGGCCUGAGAGGGUGAACGGCCACAUUGGGACUGAGACACGGCCCAAACUCCUACGGGAGGCAGCAGUGGGGAAUAUUGCACAAUGGGGGAAACCCUGAUGCAGCGACGCCGCGUGAGUGAAGAAGUAUUUCGGUAUGUAAAGCUCUAUCAGCAGGAAAGAAAAUGACGGUACCUGACUAAGAAGCCCCGGCUAACUACGUG